AAUCAACGCUGGCGGCGUGCCUCAGACAUGCAAGUCGAACGAUUAAAGCUCUCUUCGGAGAGUGUAUAGAGUGGCGCACGGGUGAGUAACACGUAAGUAAUCUACCUUUGAGUGGGGAAUAACCCGGGGAAACCCGAGCUAAUACCGCAUAAUGCAGCGGCACCGCAAGGUGACAGUUGUUAAAGGAGCAAUCCGCUUAAAGAGGAGCUUGCGGCAGAUUAGCUAGNGGUAAGGUAAUGGCUUACCAAGGCUUCGAUCUGUAUCCGGCCUGAGAGGGCGGUCGGACACACUGACACUGAAUAACGGGUCAGACUCCUACGGGAGGCAGCAGUCGGGAAUUUUGGGCAAUGGGCGAAAGCCUGACCCAGCAACGCCGCGUGAAGGAUGAAGUAUUUCGGUAUGUAAACUUCGAAAGAAUGGGAAGAAUCAAUGACGGUACCAUUUAUAAGGUCCGGCUAACUACGUGCCAGCCGCCGCCGU
RNAcentral lists this ribosomal RNA (480 nucleotides) under uncultured bacterium. RNAcentral describes it as "bacterial SSU rRNA". It matches the Rfam family "Bacterial small subunit ribosomal RNA", at positions 32 to 521 of the family's 1533-position model. The record is from RNAcentral.